RNAcentral lists this ribosomal RNA (324 nucleotides) under uncultured bacterium. Its description in RNAcentral is "bacterial SSU rRNA". It matches the Rfam family "Bacterial small subunit ribosomal RNA", at positions 18 to 344 of the family's 1533-position model. The record is from RNAcentral.
CCUGGCUCAGAUUGAACGCUGGCGGCAGGCCUAACACAUGCAAGUCGAGCGGUAGAGAGAAGCUUGCUUCUCUUGAGAGCGGCGGACGGGUGAGUAAUGCCUAGGAAUCUGCCUGGUAGUGGGGGAUAACGUUCGGAAACGGACGCUAAUACCGCAUACGUCCUACGGGAGAAAGCAGGGGACCUUCGGGCCUUGCGCUAUCAGAUGAGCCUAGGUCGGAUUAGCUAGUUGGUGGGGUAAUGGCUCACCAAGGCGACGAUCCGUAACUGGUCUGAGAGGAUGAUCAGUCACACUGGAACUGAGACACGGUCCAGACUCCUACGG